GAUCCUGUUCCACAUUAAAUCUAUCAGAAUUUGCAAUUCAAUCUUUUCUCUUAAUUUUCACUUUUAAAAAUUCUGACAAGUCCCGGGUGUGUAGCCAAGGACUGCACAGGAAGCUUAGGGAGACAGAGGAAGUGUGCCUCGUGGCCACAGGCGACUGAAAGGAUCCUGCCGGCCCCACUGGGCACAGAUGUAAUUACCAAUAUGAAGAUGAAUCUUUCAAGAGACUCAUUUUCUGGACCCAGGAGUGACCAAGACUAUUGUGGUUUCAGCACUGAAAGUACCUGCAUUCUCGGAAGUCCCUCAGUCCUCCGAAACCAGGACAGUUAGUCGCCCCCUCCUGUUUAACACCAGAAUAGAUGCUGAUUAUGCCUAUUUUAAAGAUAAGGAAACAGAGGCUCAGGGAGUUGGAAUAAUUGGCUAAGUGCACACACCUAAUGAGUGAUUAUGUUUUCAAUGUCCUCACCUUCUGUGGGAUGGAAGAGAGAAACAGCUGGGCGUAGCUGAGUGUUCCCUGUCCUCUGAAGUGAAUUCUCCAUCCAGAGGCCAGUACUCUCCUCGGCAAAGCAAUCAGAUGGGUGCCAUAUGCUCCUCUAAUCUUUCUCUAACUUUUCUUUGGUGCCCAGGUGGUGCUGCCCUCAGCCAGCUCCUUGCCUAGUAGGUGCUGUUCCACCCCCAGCUCUUCUCUCCUUCUUUUCCACACUAACCUGCCCUGCGUCUCCAUCUGAUCGAAGACUCUGCAAAAUGAGCCAGAUUCCUUGGAUGAAUGGUUCUUGACGAGGGCUCCACAUCUCAUGAUGAAUCUGCUCCGCUGUUAGGCCCAGAAGGGCACCAGCUGUGUGUGCGUGGUGCGCCUGGGUUAGUGUUUCCUGCAUCCUGGGCCCUCAGUGCUUUCUGCAUCCUGGCUGCUCAGCUCCACACCACAGACUCUGAGAUUGCUAAGUCCUGGAUAUGUGAGCAAGUGUACAAAAAACUAAGUGCCAUUAACAUCUCCAGAUACCGUACGCAUUCUAGUUGGGACCUUCCUCACUUUAAGACACAGAGUGAAUAACAAGGCAGUUUCAAGGUCUAUGACAAGUGGUCCCCAACCUUUUUGGCACCAGGGACCAGUUUCAUGGAAGGCAAUUUUUCCAUAGGCCGAGGGUCAGGGAAACAGUGUCAGAC
Bos taurus (domestic cattle) is the source of this 1161-nucleotide long non-coding RNA. The record is from Ensembl. NCBI's taxonomy places the organism in Eukaryota, Metazoa, Chordata, Mammalia, Artiodactyla, Bovidae.